GACGAACGCUGGCGGCGUGCUUAACACAUGCAAGUCGAACGGAAAGGCCUGCUUUCCCUUGUGGAUUGCGGGUACUCGAGUGGCGAACGGGUGAGUAACACGUGAGUGAUCUGCCCCCAACUUGGGUAUAAGCCUGGGAAACUGGGUCUAAUUCCCGAUAGGACUGCAGGGUGGUGCCUGUGGUGGAAAACGAUUUUCUAGUGGUUGGGGAUGAGCUCGCGGCCUAUCAGCUUGUUGGUGGGGUAAUGGCCUACCAAGGCGGCGACGGGUAGCCGGCCUCAGAGGGUGGACGGCCACAUUGGGACUGAGAUACGGCCCAGACUCCUACGGGAGGCAGCAGUGGGGAAUAUUGCACAAUGGGCGGAAGCCUGAUGCAGCGACGCCGCGUGGGGGAUGACGGCCUUCGGGUUGUAAACUCCUUUCGACCGCGAGGAAGCCACCUGGUUGGAAGGGUGGUGACGGUAGUGGUAGAAGAAGCACCGGCUAACUACGUG
RNAcentral lists this ribosomal RNA (494 nucleotides) under uncultured bacterium. RNAcentral describes it as "partial 16S ribosomal RNA". It matches the Rfam family "Bacterial small subunit ribosomal RNA", at positions 28 to 507 of the family's 1533-position model. The record is from RNAcentral.